UGUAUUCACUACUGUAAGUCGCUCUGGAUAAGAGCGUCUGCUAAAUGACUUAAA
Non-coding RNA from Salmo salar (Atlantic salmon), 54 nucleotides. Lineage: Eukaryota; Metazoa; Chordata; Actinopteri; Salmoniformes; Salmonidae. The record is from Rfam.